Picea glauca (white spruce) is the source of this 119-nucleotide non-coding RNA. The record is from Rfam. Lineage: Eukaryota; Viridiplantae; Streptophyta; Pinopsida; Pinales; Pinaceae.
AAUGUAAUUCCUAUAACAUUGAUGCACUAAAUCCCAUUAGAACUCCAGAAUUAACUAUGCUUUGGAUAGACUAGUAUUAGGAUGGGUGACCUCUUAGGAAGUCUCAGAGUUUUACAUGC